CCUACGGGAGGCAGCAGUGGGGAAUUUUGGACAAUGGGCGCAAGCCUGAUCCAGCAAUGCCGCGUGAGUGAAGAAGGCCUUCGGGUUGUAAAGCUCUUUUGUCAGGGAAGAAAAGGGAUUGGCUAAUAUCUGGUCCUCAUGACGGUACCUGAAGAAUAAGCACCGGCUAACUACGUGCCAGCAGCCGCGGUAAUACGUAGGGUGCAAGCGUUAAUCGGAAUUACUGGGCGUAAAGCGUGCGCAGGCGGUUUUGUAAGACUGUCGUGAAAUCCCCGGGCUUAACCUGGGAAUGGCGAUGGUGACUGCAAGGCUAGAGUUUGGCAGAGGGGGGUAGAAUUCCACGUGUAGCAGUGAAAUGCGUAGAUAUGUGGAGGAACACCGAUGGCGAAGGCAGCCCCCUGGGUCAAAACUGACGCUCAUGCACGAAAGCGUGGGGAGCAAACAGGAUUAGAUACCCUGGUAGUCCACGCCCUAAACGAUGUCUACUAGUUGUCGGGUCUUAAUUGACUUGGUAACGCAGCUACGCGUGAGUAGACCGCCGUGGGAGGUACGGUCGCGAGAGUAAACUACGAAGAGUAGUAGACGNGAGAGAGCGACGACGACGACGACGGAGGAGGAGG
RNAcentral lists this ribosomal RNA (620 nucleotides) under uncultured bacterium. RNAcentral's name for it is "bacterial SSU rRNA". The stretch from base 1 to 540 matches the Rfam family "Bacterial small subunit ribosomal RNA", at positions 338 to 873 of the family's 1533-position model. The record is from RNAcentral.